Centruroides sculpturatus (bark scorpion) is the source of this 525-nucleotide long non-coding RNA. RefSeq lists it as uncharacterized. NCBI's taxonomy places the organism in Eukaryota, Metazoa, Arthropoda, Arachnida, Scorpiones, Buthidae. The record is from RefSeq and is a predicted model, not a curated record. The transcript is spliced from 3 exons.
UGUACAAAAAUUAAAUAAAUUUAUAAAAGUAUGAUUAGAAAAGUUUAUUAAAUUAAAAGAGUAUUAAAGCGAUAAAUAUUUAUUUCGUUGAGGUAAAAUUUCCGUUUGGUUCGUAUCGGUUUCACGAAUUGCAGACGUCUCCAUGGCGAAUAGGUCGAUCGACCCUCGAAUGACAUUCGAGUCUUGUUAUUUGAAAGGAUAGGAGGCAUAAACAUUCCUUCCUGUUUGAAAUAUUACAGACUGUUGUUUACCAUCCGAAUCCGGAGCAAAUAAAUUCAGAUUAAAGUUGAAAAAACGUAGCAGCAACAAUAUUUUUAUCCCAUGGACGUUUGAUUGGUCUGGAUCCACGAUGACGUUAGGAGUAAACAGGAAGAAAAUGGAUCAUACACAUACCGACGAAUCGCCAAAAGAUUUGGUUUUUGAAAAGAUGGAAGCAUUAAUUCAAAAAAUGCAACAUCCCGAAACUGGUGUACCCGUUCGUAGUAAGAGGCAGUUUCUGACAUCCAUACCGUGUGCCUUUCAAGG